GAGGGGAGGUGGAACCAACGAGAACUGCUAAUUCUUGCAUCUGGGGCUAAACCCCCCAGUCCCCUUA
RNAcentral lists this transfer RNA (67 nucleotides) under Turdus obscurus (eye-browed thrush). RNAcentral's name for it is "tRNA-Ser". The record is from RNAcentral. RNAcentral also lists the same sequence under 1 other name. Lineage: Eukaryota; Metazoa; Chordata; Aves; Passeriformes; Turdidae.